This 1227-nucleotide long non-coding RNA is filed under the name Sus scrofa (pig). Its description in RNAcentral is "lncRNA (ENSSSCG00070000589.1)". Lineage: Eukaryota; Metazoa; Chordata; Mammalia; Artiodactyla; Suidae. The record is from RNAcentral.
GGCCCCGCUCAGUGGGUUAAGGAUCCAGCGUUGCCGUGAGCUGUGGUGUGGGUCACAGACGUGGCUCGGAUCUGGCGUUACUGUGGCUGUGGCGUAGGCCGGUGGUUACAGCUCCAAUUCGACCCCUAGCCUGGGAACCUCCAUAUGCCAUGGGUGAGGCCCUAGAAAAGGCAGAAAGACAAAAAAAAAAAAAAAAAAAAAAAAAGUCUGGCUAAAAACCGGAAUUCUGAUACUAAAGCAGACCGGUAGACUGGAUAUUGGAGACCAUGAGCAGAAUCAGACAUAGAAAGUUUUUCUGAAACAAGAAGCAAAAAAGCACAAAUGUUAAAGAAAAAUAUUGGCAACAGAGACUAAAUUAAAAAUUUAAAUCUCUAAUAAAUAAAAUACUUAAAUUAUUUUAAUGAGUAAAUACUGACAACAAAUGAAUGUUAACUCUUAGUUUGGGGAAAGAUUUGCAGAGCUUAUACCUAAAUGUUUUAAAAUUUUACACAAAGGAUCGGGAUCUAUCAUAUAUAAAGAAUCCCUGCAAAUCAAUAAGAAAAAGGUUAAAACCCAGUGCAUGAAACUUACCCGCAGGCACCCAGAAGAGACCAGAGGGAGUUCCCGUCGUGGCGCAGUGGUUAACGAAUCCGACUAGGAACCAUGAGGUUGCGGGUUCGGUCCCUGCCCUUGCUCAGUGGGUUAACGAUCCGGCGUUGCCGUGAGCUGUGGUGUAGGUUGCAGACGCGGCUCGGAUCCCGCGUUGCUGUGGCUCUGGCGUAGGCCGGUGGCUACAGCUCCGAUUUGCCCCCUAGCCUGGGAACCUCCAUAUGCCGCGGGAGCGGCCCAAGAAAUAGCAACAACAACAACAACAACAAAAGACAAAAAAAAAAAAAAAAAAAAAAGAAGAGACCAGAAAGGAUGUGUUGUGUCUGAGCAGAGGGUUCCAGACAAACCAGAUGAAGAGACAUGGACCCAAGAAGCAAAGGGACUUAAAUCCCAGAUGCCUAAUUGAGCACCAACAGUAAACUCAGCCUCGUACACGGAAAUCCUGGGGUAGGACUUAGCGGCCAAGAAGAGGAGACAGUGUGGUCCCUGCCCUCCAGGAGCAUCCAGUUCUGUCAUAAAGGGACCUGUGUCAGCACCAGGGGACUGGCCCUCAUUCCCGUGUCCAGUGCACACGACGUGUCCUGCCAUGUGUGGGAAAUACAAGCAUUUGGAUCUUGUUUUUCUUUUUUUGUCUGCCCU